This 253-nucleotide ribosomal RNA is filed under the name uncultured bacterium. RNAcentral's name for it is "partial 16S ribosomal RNA". It matches the Rfam family "Bacterial small subunit ribosomal RNA", at positions 524 to 776 of the family's 1533-position model. The record is from RNAcentral.
UACAGAGGUCCCAAGCGUUGUUCGGAUUCACUGGGCGUAAAGGGUGCGUAGGUGGUGAGGUAAGUCGGAUGUGAAAUCUCCGAGCUCAACUCGGAAACUGCAUUGGAAACUACCUUGCUAGAGGGUUGGAGGGGGGACUGGAAUGCUUGGUGUAGCAGUGAAAUGCGUAGAUAUCAAGCGGAACACCAGUGGCGAAGGCGAGUCCCUGGACAACUCCUGACACUGAGGCACGAAAGCUAGGGGAGCAAACAGG